Molecule: ribosomal RNA, 253 nt
Filed under: uncultured bacterium
Lineage: Bacteria
Description: partial 16S ribosomal RNA
Rfam family: Bacterial small subunit ribosomal RNA
Source: RNAcentral
UACGUAGGGUGCGAGCGUUAUCCGGAAUUAUUGGGCGUAAAGGGCUCGUAGGCGGUUUGUCACGUCGGGUGUGAAAACUCGGGGCUUAACCCCGAGCCUGCUUCCGAUACGGGCUGACUAGAGGUAUGCAGGGGAGAACGUAAUUCCUGGUGUAGCGGUGAAAUGCGCAGAUAUCAGGAGGAACACCGGUGGCGAAGGCGGCAUCCUGGGCCGGUAUUGACGCUGAGGAGCGAAAGCCAGGGGAGCAAACGGG